GUUGAACGCUGGCGGCAUGCCUUACACAUGCAAGUCGAACGGUAACAUUUCUUCGGCUUCUUACGAGUGGCGAACGUUUGUGUAAUACUUCGGAACGUGCCCAUACGUGGUGGGUAACGAGGCGAAAGCUGGGCUAAUACCGCAUACGACCUAAGGAUAAAAGCAGUGGACCGCAAGGCCUGCCUCGUUUAGAGCGGCCGAUGGCAGAUUAGGUAGUUGGUGGCAUAUAAGCUUACCAAGCCGACGAUCUGUAGCUGGUCUGAGAGGACGACCAGCCACACUGGGACUGAGACACGGCCCAGACUCCUACGGGAGGCAGCAGUGGGGAAUUCUGGAGAAUGGGCGAAAGCCUGAUCCAGCAAUGCCGCGUGAAGGCUGAAGGACUUAGGGCUGUAAACUGAUUAAGUACGGAACGAAAAGGAUCUGGAUAAUACCUGGGGAACAUGACGGUACCGUAAGAAUAAGCACCGGCUAAAUACGUG
This 482-nucleotide ribosomal RNA is filed under the name uncultured bacterium. Its description in RNAcentral is "partial 16S ribosomal RNA". It matches the Rfam family "Bacterial small subunit ribosomal RNA", at positions 28 to 507 of the family's 1533-position model. The record is from RNAcentral.